Molecule: ribosomal RNA, 253 nt
Filed under: uncultured bacterium
Lineage: Bacteria
Description: partial 16S ribosomal RNA
Rfam family: Bacterial small subunit ribosomal RNA
Source: RNAcentral
UACGGAGGGUGCAAGCGUUAUCCGGAUUUACUGGGUUUAAAGGGCGCGCAGGCGGAUAUGUAAGUCAGUGGUGAAAUCUCCGGGCUUAACCCGGAAACUGCCGUUGAUACUAUAUAUCUUGAAUGCUGUGGAGGUAAGCAGAAUAUGUCAUGUAGCGGUGAAAUGCUUAGAGAUGACAUAGAAUACCUAUUGCGAAGGCAGCUUACUACGCAGAUAUUGACGCUCAUGCACGAAAGCGUGGGGAUCAAACAGG